This 411-nucleotide ribosomal RNA is filed under the name uncultured bacterium. RNAcentral describes it as "bacterial SSU rRNA". It matches the Rfam family "Bacterial small subunit ribosomal RNA", at positions 64 to 507 of the family's 1533-position model. The record is from RNAcentral.
GAACGAGAAAGUGGAGCAAUCCACGAGUAAAGUGGCGACCGGGUGAGUAACACGUGACUAACCUACCUCCGAAUGGGGAAUAACUCCGGGAAACCGGGGCUAAUACCGCAUAACACCGCAAGGUCAAAGCAGCAAUGCGUUUGGAGAGGGGGUCGCGGCUGAUUAGCUAGUUGGCGGGGUAACGGCCCACCAAGGCGAAGAUCGGUAUCCGGCCUGAGAGGGCGCACGGACACACUGGAACUGAAACACGGUCCAGACUCCUACGGGAGGCAGCAGUGGGGAAUUUUGCGCAAUGGGGGAAACCCUGACGCAGCAACGCCGCGUGGAGGAUGAAGCCCUUUGGGGCGUAAACUCCUUUCGACCAAGACGAUGAUGACGGUACUGGUGGAAGAAGCACCGGCUAACUCUGUG